AUCUGCCUUUAAGCGGGGAAUAGCCCAUGGAAACGUGGAUUAAUACCCCAUAUUAUGUAGACCUCUCCUGAGGACUACAUUAAACAUUUAUGGCUUAAAGAUGAGUAUGCGUCCUAUUAGUUAGUUGGUAAGGUAACGGCUUACCAAGACGGCGAUAGGUAGGGGUCCUGAGAGGGAGAUCCCCCACACUGGUACUGAGACACGGACCAGACUCCUACGGGAGGCAGCAGUGAGGAAUAUUGGACAAUGGAGGCAACUCUGAUCCA
Molecule: ribosomal RNA, 266 nt
Filed under: uncultured Christiangramia sp.
Lineage: Bacteria; Pseudomonadati; Bacteroidota; Flavobacteriia; Flavobacteriales; Flavobacteriaceae
Description: uncultured Gramella sp. partial 16S ribosomal RNA
Rfam family: Bacterial small subunit ribosomal RNA
Source: RNAcentral